Molecule: unclassified non-coding RNA, 237 nt
Filed under: Hevea brasiliensis (rubber tree)
Lineage: Eukaryota; Viridiplantae; Streptophyta; Magnoliopsida; Malpighiales; Euphorbiaceae
Source: RNAcentral
GAGAGAGAGAGAGAGAGUGUGUAUAAAGAUGGUAUCAGAAUUCCGUCCUGCAUGAUUCCUGAUAAAAUUUUCUUAUUAUCCCUAGUUACAUAUAGCUUUAGAACAAGCCACCAAUCAACAUACAUAAAAUUUGCCCAUGUAAUACGAAUUCUAAUGCUCGCAUCUUAUGAAUAGUAUCAGAUCCAAUUAAAUAAUGGCUCCCAAAUGAGUGAAAUAAACUACUUGUUAUAAUUCCAC